RNAcentral lists this ribosomal RNA (467 nucleotides) under uncultured bacterium. Its description in RNAcentral is "partial 16S ribosomal RNA". It matches the Rfam family "Bacterial small subunit ribosomal RNA", at positions 29 to 507 of the family's 1533-position model. The record is from RNAcentral.
ACGCACGCUGGCGGCGUGCUUAACACAUGCAAGUCGAACGGAUAGGCCCUGCUUUUGUGGGGUGCUCGCGUGGCGAACGGGUGAGUAACACGUGAGUAACCUGCCCUUGACUUUGGGAUAACUUCAGGAAACUGGGGCUAAUACCGGAUAGGAGCUCCUGCUGCAUGGUGGGGGUUGGAAAGUUUCGGCGGUUGGGGAUGGACUCGCGGCUUAUCAGCUUGUUGGUGGGGUAGUGGCUUACCAAGGCUUUGACGGGUAGCCGGCCUGAGAGGGUGACCGGCCACAUUGGGACUGAGAUACGGCCCAGACUCCUACGGGAGGCAGCAGUGGGGAAUAUUGCACAAUGGGCGGAAGCCUGAUGCAGCAACGCCGCGUGCGGGAUGACGGCCUUCGGGUUGUAAACCGCUUUCGCCUGUGACGAAGCGUGAGUGACGGUAAUGGGUAAAGAAGCACCGGCUAACUACGUG